RNAcentral lists this ribosomal RNA (452 nucleotides) under uncultured bacterium. RNAcentral's name for it is "bacterial SSU rRNA". It matches the Rfam family "Bacterial small subunit ribosomal RNA", at positions 28 to 494 of the family's 1533-position model. The record is from RNAcentral.
GAUGAACGCUGGCGGCGUGCAUAACACAUUCAAGUCGAACGGUGAUGAGGACUUCGGUCCUCUGAUCAGUGGCGGACGGGUGAGUAACGCGUGAGCAACCUGCCCUAUAUUGCGGGAUAACAACCGGAAACAGUUGCUAAUACCGCAUGACGUAUUCGGAUCGCAUGUUCUGGAUACCAAAGAAUUUUGAUAUAGGAUGGGCUCGCGUCCGAUUAGGCAGUUGGUGGGGUAACGGCCCACCAAACCGACGAUCGGUAGCCGAACUGAGAGGUUGAACGGCCACAUUGGAACUGAGAUACGGUCCAGACUCCUACGGGAGGCAGCAGUUGGGGAAUAUUGCACAAUGGGCGAAAGCCUGAUGCAGCAACGCCGCGUGAGGGAAGACGGUCUUCGGAUUGUAAACCUCUGUCCUUGGUGACGAAUAAAUGACGGUAGCCUUGGAGGAAAGCCAC